RNAcentral lists this ribosomal RNA (1993 nucleotides) under gut metagenome. RNAcentral describes it as "bacterial LSU rRNA". It matches the Rfam family "Bacterial large subunit ribosomal RNA", at positions 1 to 2024 of the family's 2925-position model. The record is from RNAcentral.
GAAAGUAAGCAAGGGCAGACGGUGGAUGCCUUGGCUCUCGGAGGCGAUGAAGGACGUGAUAAGCUGCGAUAAGCUUGGGGUAGGUGCAAAUAACCUUUGAUCCCAAGAUUUCCGAAUGGGGCAACCCGGCUGGUAGAAGGCCAGUCAUUCCGUAAGGAAGGCGAACGUGGGGAACUGAAACAUCUAAGUACCCAUAGGAGAAGAAAACAAAAGUGAUUCCGCAAGUAGUGGCGAGCGAACGCGGAACAGCCCAAACCACCCGUGUUACGGCACGAGUGGGGUAGAAGGAUCCACGCUACGGCAAGAAAUAAGUUAGCAGAAUACGAUGGAAAUCGUAGCCAGAGACGGUGACAGCCCGGUACGCGAAAACGGACAGAAGCCCAGUGGACACCUGAGUAACCCAGGACACGAGAAAUCCGGGGCGAAUCAGCGGGGCCCAUCCCGUAAGGCUAAAUACUCCCGAGAGACCGAUAGCGAACCAGUACUGUGAAGGAAAGGUGAAAAGAACCUCGAACAGAGGAGUGAAACAGACCCUGAAACCAUGCGCCUACAAGCGGUCGGAGCAUGUUAAAAUGUGACGGCGUGCCUUUUGCAUAAUGAACCUACGAGUUACUCUCGCUGGCAAGGUUAAGCGAUUCAGUCGCGCAGCCGAAGCGAAAGCAAGUCCGAACAAGGCGUACAGUCAGCGGGAGUAGACGCGAAACCAAGUGAUCUACCCUUGGUCAGGUUGAAGGUUGGGUAACACCAACUGGAGGACCGCACCGAUAAGCGUUGAAAAGCUUACGGAUGAACUGAGGGUAGGAGUGAAAGGCCAAUCAAACUUGGAGAUAGCUCGUACUCCCCGAAAUGCAUUUAGGUGCAGCCUCGAAGUAAAGUGAUAGAGGUAGAGCGACUGAUAAGAUGCGAGGGCUUCACCGCCUAUCAAGUCUUGACAAACUCCGAAUACUAUCACUUGAUCUUCGGGAGUGAGGGCAUGGGUGCUAAGGUCCAUGUCCGAAAGAGGAACAACUCAGACCACCAGCUAAGGUCCCGAAAUAAGGGCUAAGUUGAAUAAACGAAGUAAAACUGCAAAGACAGCUAGGAUGUUGGCUUGGAAGCAGCCAUUCAUUUAAAGAGUGCGUAACAGCUCACUAGUCGAGGAGUUUUGCAUGGAUAAUAAUCGGGCAUAAGCCCUUUACCGAAGCUGUGGAUGUCGUAAGACAUGGUAGGGGAGCAUUCCGGCGGCGACGAAGGCCGUCCUCGAGGACGACUGGAGCUUUCGGAAAAGCAAAUGUAGGUAUAAGUAACGAUAAAGGGGGCGUGAAACCCCCUCGCCAUAAGACUAAGGAUUCCUGAUCAACGCUAAUCGGAUCAGGGUAAGUCGGGCCCUAAGGCGCAGCCGAACGGCGUAGCCGAUGGAAGAAACGGUAAAGAUUCCGUUACUGGAUAUAGGAGCGAUGUGGAGACGGAGAAGUGACACACCCGCCUGCCGACGGAAGCGCAGGUUAAAGGAAGUAGGUAAACGCCGGGUAGGCAAAUCCGCCUGGCGUGCCGAAGCUGACAGUAUCGAGAGCCCCCGGGCAAUCGAAUAGCGGUGGUAAUCAGGCUCCCAAGAAAAUCCGCUAAGCAUAUUCUAUAUCCACCCGUACCCCAAACGGACACACGUAGUCGGGUAGAAUAUACCAAGGCGCUCGAAAGACUCACGGUUAAGGAACUAGGCAAAUUGACCCUGUAACCUCGGGAAAAAGGGUCCCCAGUAAGAUGGGGCGCAGAGAAUAGGUCCAGGCAACUGUUUAACAAAAACACAGGGCUGUGCAAAAUUUCAAGAUGAAGUAUACAGCCUGACACCUGCCCGGUGCCGGAAGGUUAAGAGGAGAGCUAAUCGCAAGAGAAGGCUUGAAUUGAAGCCCCGGUAAACGGCGGCCGUAACUAUAACGGUCCUAAGGUAGCGAAAUUCCUUGUCGGGUAAGUUCCGACCUGCACGAAUGGUGUAAUGAUCUGGACACUGUCUCAA